UACAGAGGUCUCAAGCGUUGUUCGGAUUCAUUGGGCGUAAAGGGUGCGUAGGCGGCGCGGUAAGUCGGGUGUGAAAUCUUGGAGCUUAACUCCGAAACUGCAUUCGAUACUGCCGUGCUUGAGGACUGGAGAGGAGACUGGAAUUUACGGUGUAGCGGUGAAAUGCGUAGAUAUCGGGAAGAACACCCGUGGCGAAGGCGGCUCUCUGGGACGGUACUGACGCUGAGACGCGAAAGCGUGGGGAGCGAACAGG
This 253-nucleotide ribosomal RNA is filed under the name uncultured bacterium. Its description in RNAcentral is "partial 16S ribosomal RNA". It matches the Rfam family "Bacterial small subunit ribosomal RNA", at positions 524 to 776 of the family's 1533-position model. The record is from RNAcentral.